RNAcentral lists this long non-coding RNA (1035 nucleotides) under Anser cygnoides (Swan goose). RNAcentral describes it as "lncRNA (ENSACDG00005018936.1)". The record is from RNAcentral. Lineage: Eukaryota; Metazoa; Chordata; Aves; Anseriformes; Anatidae.
AUGGUGCGUGUUUUAUGCUGUGCAUUGUUUCUUUUAUAUAUGCUACAUCUUGUGUGGCAUAUUCAUACGUAUUGUGUAAAUUUGUACAUGAAGAAGACUGGUCCGGUGCUGCUGGCACUGCAGCAGGCGGUGGCUCUGCCCUACUGCCAGCUCAGGACCAUUUUCCCAGGCUGCAGAAGGAGAUGGGCGAUGCAAUUUUCUGCCUUGGUCCCCCGGCUGCAUGCAGCUUCCAAUUUUCUGAAUUUCAUCAGUGGGUUAAAACAAAACCCGCGAGAGGAUUUCGGCUCUCCUCUGCGUCAGGCAGUGCCGGAGUGGAGAGACACAGUGGUUGGUUUUUUGUGUUUGUUUGUUUGUUUUUUCCCCAGGUGGGCAAGCAAAAGCGUAAACGGGAUUGCCCGAGACCAGAAAGCAGCCGGGUCCCGGCAGGAGCAGCUUUUUGCUCCCCCCAGACCCACCCAGCCGGCAGCCUGCCUGCCCGGGCUGGAAGAAAUAGAAAUUUUUGUUCUCCCCCCUCCCGCCCACCAAACCUGUUGCCCAAGGCAAGUGCCCACCGCAGCGCCUGCAUUCCCUGUACACCAGCGGCUCCGCGUUUACAUCCUUGGGCAAGGAGAAAAGCGGGGGGGGGGUCCUCGGAUUUCUGGUGAUUUCGUGAUUUUUUACGAGGGGCUGCGGGUUUGCAGCCGACCCCCUUCCCUACAAAAACGUUCGCUUAGCGCUCAUCGCCCUGCCCCCAAACCCUUCCCCCGGCGGGGGGACACGGGAGCGGGGGGCCGGGGGGGCACCACCGGGGCUCGGUGCGGGGCUGGCAGCGGCACCUCCUCGGGGAGCCCCGGGGAGCGGGGGGGCGCCGGGAGAGGAGGAGGAGGAGGAAGAGGAGGAGGAGGAAGAUGCGCGUUUCGGUGCCCGGCCACCCCGCAGCGCCCCCGGCCGCCCCCGCUGCGUGUCCGCACCCACCCUUCGGGGAUCCCUGCAGCCGCUGCGGGUCGCUCGGAGCUACAAACACACGUGCAAGUAUCGCUAUACAUAGGAAUUUAG